AGCAGUCGCCGCGGGAAUACGAAGGGUGCAAGCGUUAAUCGGAAUUACUGGGCGUAAAGCGUGCGUAGGCGGUGAGUUAAGUCUGCUGUGAAAUCCCCGGGCUCAACCUGGGAAUGGCAGUGGAUACUGGCUCGCUAGAGUGUGUCAGAGGAUGGUGGAAUUCCCGGUGUAGCGGUGAAAUGCGUAGAGAUCGGGAGGAACAUCAGUGGCGAAGGCGGCCAUCUGGGACAACACUGACGCUGAGGCACGAAAGCGUGGGGAGCAAACAGGAUUAGAUACCCGCGUAGUCCCUGUCUCUUAUAU
RNAcentral lists this ribosomal RNA (303 nucleotides) under uncultured bacterium. RNAcentral's name for it is "partial 16S ribosomal RNA". It matches the Rfam family "Bacterial small subunit ribosomal RNA", at positions 507 to 809 of the family's 1533-position model. The record is from RNAcentral.